Molecule: long non-coding RNA, 2111 nt
Organism: Cornus florida
Lineage: Eukaryota; Viridiplantae; Streptophyta; Magnoliopsida; Cornales; Cornaceae
Exons: 3
Source: RefSeq, a predicted model, not a curated record
AUAGCAGCAACCUGCUUCAAGCCUCAUUGUGCUGAACUUUACAAAAACACUAGAGAGGCUGCAUUUCAAGAAGUCUUCGAGAGACACUCUAGAAAAUCAAUAUCAUGGAGGUUUACUAAGUAUGGGUUAAAUUAAGGGAGCUGAAAAUACCUCAGAAUAACACCUGUGAGGGUAUACAACUUGAAGAUGAAAAGGAGGCCUGUUUGUUGCUGAUUUCCAGGUGCAAAUUGGUGUUUAAGGAAGUUCAAACUUGUUGUGAGUACUCUAAGAGUUGGAGAUGUGCUUGAGCAAAUGUAUUUUGAUGUGUUACAACUAUUCUAGGUGACCACAAGCACCUAACAUCACUGCAGGAGCAACUGAAUGGGAUUGAUAUAUAUAUAUAUAUAUAUAUAUAUAUAUAUAUAUGUUGCGUGGAUAUCGUAGCAUUGGAGCAACUUCAGCGCAACCUAAUCCGGUGAUUUAGGCCCAUUUUGGUGACCCAAUUUGCUCCAUUGUGGGUCGCCAAAUUUAGGCCACGUCAUUCAAAUCACGGAAAACGACGACCCUCUUAGCGAGCCGUAGGCUUGCCAUACGAGCCCGCCUUUCUUUUUUUUUUUUUUUUUUUUUUUUUUUUUUUUAUUUCUGGCUCAGAACAUUGUUUUAGCCCAUAACGCUGUUUGUAAGGCCAUGUUUGGCUGAAAUAAAAGCUAAAAAACAGUUUUUUGGGUUAUUUUGGUCUCUCUUUUUUUUCCUUCAAAACAAUUGAACCAAAGAGCCAUUAACGCACAGUUUGGCUGACAAACAGUGUCUUAAAUGCUUUUUUGGGCAAAAAAGUUAAAAAAAUGGAGAAAAGAUUUUUUAAAACAAAACCUUACUUUUUUAAAUAUUCCUAUUGACAUUAUAGCCAUUUUAGGCACUGUUUAGCUUACCCAAGCAGUGCCUUAACGGCUAUAUUGGCACAAAAGCAAAUUUUUUAAAAUUUUUUUUUUUAACUAUAUAUAUAUAUAUAUAUAUAUAUAUAUAUAUAUAUAUAUAAAAUAUAAAUAAAUAAUUUUUUUUUUCAUUUUUCCUCUAUAAAUACAUCAACCCCUACUAUUAUUCACUUCAUAUCCAACCCAUCUUCUCUAGUAUUCAACCUACAAAUACAACCACUAAGUUAUUUUCUCAAUCUUUUAGUUAUAUUUUUUUACUAAAGUUCAAUUCCAUGGACCCCUGACCACCAUAUUAUAAAUACAACGCCCAAUUUAACCAAUCAAAUGAUAAUUUUGAUCCCUUCUUACAAUUUGUUGAAGAAGAAUCUCAAUUUUUGUCUCAUCAACCUUCUCAAAUUUCCAACAUUCCUACUGAAGUGCUACAAUCCAGUAACUCCCAACCUCUAAGAAAGCAAAGGGUUAUUCAGCCUUCUAAUUGGUCCACAGUUGAAGAUAAGGCUUUAUGUUAUGCGUGGAUGGCCAUUAGCACUGAUGCGGUCAUCGGUUCAGACCAACAAAAAACAACGUUAUGGAGCUGAAUUUAUGAAAGUUUUGAGCAACACGUUAGUGGUACUGGUACACCUAAAAGAAAUCCUAAGGCCUACUUGAAUCGUUGGUACUUCAUGCAACAAAUGAUUACCAAAUUUUCUGGAUGCAUGCCCCAGAUCAAAAGGAAUUACCCCAGUGGGCAAGACAAUGAGUACAAGGGGGUUUGGAAGUGGUUAGGGGGUGUCUUAGGGUGGGAGCUGUAGCAGUUGGAGGAUCUUACCUUAGUGUGGGAUCUCUUCACUUGGUUGAAUAUUCAGAAUUCCAAAAGACUCCAAAGUCUUUUUGCUGCUGGGGUAUGGUUUAUUUGGAGAGAAAGGAAUAAUAGACUCCAUGGUUCUAAUAGUUUCCUUCUGGAGGUAGUGGCUAGAUCUACCGUCAUGGAAGUUUGUGAUGUUCAGAAGGUUUCUCUUAAUGAUGUUAUUGCUUAGAACUGAAUUUCAUUUUUUAUUUUUGUACUGGAAAUGGGCUUUUCAUUAGGCCUUAUUUUUAGUAUUGUUUUUAUUUUCUUUUUCUGGGGGUAUGCCCUCUGUGCUCCUGUAUUCAUGUUGAUUUUUUGAGCUCAAUACAUCUCCAAUUAUGAAAAAAAAAAAAUGGUAGAUAUUUUAAAGAUUU